RNAcentral lists this ribosomal RNA (394 nucleotides) under uncultured bacterium. RNAcentral's name for it is "partial 16S ribosomal RNA". It matches the Rfam family "Bacterial small subunit ribosomal RNA", at positions 523 to 918 of the family's 1533-position model. The record is from RNAcentral.
AUACGGAGGGUGCGAGCGUUAAUCGGAAUCACUGGGCGUAAAGCGCACGUAGGCUGUCUGGCAAGUCAGGGGUGAAAUCCCGCGGCUCAACCGCGGAACUGCCUUUGAAACUGUCAGCCUUGAGUAUCGGAGAGGGUGGCGGAAUUCCAGGUGUAGGAGUGAAAUCCGUAGAGAUCUGGAAGAACACCGGUGGCGAAGGCGGCCACCUGGACGAAAACUGACGCUGAGGUGCGAAAGCGUGGGUAGCAAACAGGAGUAGAUCCCCUGGUAGUCCACGCUGUAAACGAUGGAUGCUGGGUGCUGGGAGAAUAGCUUUCGGCGCCGUAGUUAACGCGAUAAGCAUCCCGCCUGGGGAGUACGGUCGCAAGGCUGAAACUCAAAUGAAUUGACGGGG